Molecule: long non-coding RNA, 6946 nt
Organism: Labeo rohita (rohu)
Lineage: Eukaryota; Metazoa; Chordata; Actinopteri; Cypriniformes; Cyprinidae
Exons: 4
Source: RefSeq, a predicted model, not a curated record
UCAUACAGGUUAACAGACAUUAUCCUUUUUAGUGUUUUAAUUUGAAAAUUGUAUUGUAAUUAUUAGUUACAUUCAUUAACUGUCACUUUGACAAAUAUAUUAGGUAAUUGUAAACAAAAUCAAUUAUUAUGAAUAUAACUCAAAUUGAAAAGACAAGAGACAUUUUACAUAUGUAGAAUAAAGUAAUGCAAAAUUAAUUGACUGUCUGGUGUCAGGCCUUGGCACUCAAUGAAAACAGCCUCUAUGUAUGUCCACUUCAAUGUCCAGUUCACACAAUUACCAGAUACCAGUGACUUCAGCUUUCACAUCCAAUCUGAAACAGACAGUUACUUUACAUGAUAAUAAAUAUAUGUGGAAACAUCACAAAAACAAAUCAAAGCCAUUGCCAUCAUGACACUGGUAAUGAAGACAUGUAUGAUUUCUUUUCCCAAUUUAAAAAUAAUAUUCUUGGAGUAGCUGAUGGCCUAUGUCCAAAAAGACUGUGCCAUCAGAACAAUGCUUUAAGGUUUAUGCACUGUCUAAUUGAUUACAAAUUAUAAUGAUUACAAUAUUAACAUUUUAACUGCAAAAAAAGAAAAAAACAACAACAAAAAAAAAAAGUUAUGAAUGACACAACACACCAGUCUAGUUUUUAUACAUUUUAUUUUGCCACGGAUACAUUUAUAGAGGUUUGUUUUAUGUCUAGUCAACAUUUGAAGUGGAUCAAAAACUUUCAUCAAAGUUUUUCUUAAAAACCAAAACAAUUCUUGUUAUAGGACAACUUUGAUGAACUUUUUUUUUUUUAAUCCACUUCAAAUGCACUGUAUACAGUACUGCAGUAAUAGUCACCAAUUACAACUAUUAUAGGCUAAUCAAAUAUUCAAGCAAAAAUCAAAGCACCACAAAUAUUCAAGCAAAAAUCAAAGCACCACAAAUAUUCAAGCAAAAAUCAAAGCACCACAAAUAUUCAAGCAAAAAUCAAAGCACCACAAAUUAAGUAUACAAAGUUAAACACAUUGAAGAGACACAAUUUUAACAGAGCUUAUAGGUUAUUCGCUUACUGUUUGCGUUGCUUCGUGUCUGUAAUUAAGCAAAUCAAGCAAAACAGCUUAUAGACGAUUUAUCAUAUCACACAAACUAUGCAUUGUUUUGACACUGUUGCAGUUAAUGCUUUAAUGCGUAACACUGAAACGUUGUCAGCUUUUCCAAAUAAUCCAUUAAACAAGCAGCGAUUAGAGGAGCGUGCACUAAUAUUUUCAGUUCCGUUAGUUUGCGCGUUGUCUCAACGACACGCCCACAAAAGUGGAAACUCAUCAACAUUCACUCUUGCGCCACCCAUUGGAACCAAAUAUAUUUGUAACACCGCUUCGCAAAUUGCGUUUUUUUAAUGAAUGUAGUGAGUCAUUGAAUGAAUCAACUGUUUGAACGAAUCAUUAAACGAAUAAUUUGACAAAGACUGCCAUCUACUGACAGUUUUAGUUUCAUUUUUUAAAAAAAUAAUUGUAGUUAUUUAAAUCAUUAAGUAUUUCUUUAUUCAAAACUGAACUGACCUGAACAUUAGCUCCAAAACAUGCCUUGCUGUAUCUUGAGCUUGGCGGGCAGCAUCCGAUAUAGCAGUAGUUGGGGUGUUUUGUCCAGCGACAGCGAUUUUUUGAAUGGCACCGCAAUGGAGUUUAGACUCGAUCACCUUCCUCAAUGUAAUGCAGCCACCUCCAUUUAUUGAACCAGUUUGUAUUAAAUGAACUACACUUGAUUAAAGAAAAUGUGUCUUUUUCCGAACUGCCUUCCAGGAAAUCUGAAGUUGGCUUGUUGGUGUGGAUUGCCUCGGCCAAAUCGAUAAUGCUAGUACUGAUACUGCUGCGGAGGCGGAGGCAGCGACGUUCAUGUUACCUUGAAUUAACGCGGCUUCUGAGCCCAGAUCCGGUGCUGAUGUGGUGGACGCUUUGGAGGAGCUGUUGUAGCUGCUGCUGGUUGGCUGCCCACUAGGCAUAAGCUCCAGUGAUUACAGUGAUGAUUAACUGAAGUCACGACACAACAUAGCACUGAAGACUCAGUGAUAGCAGGAAUAUAAGACAUCAUCAUUCAGAGAAAUGUUUUUCUUGAGGAUCCAGAUUCAGAACACAACAUUUUCCCAGAGGAAUCAAUUACAAGAAGCUUCUCUCUCAUCUUUAUGUGAGUUUCUCCAGCUUUCUCUGUGUAUUUGCAGUGGUGAUAAAUAAAGGUAAGCACAAAACAACCUACAUUUAAAGGAUCAUUCAAUACCACAGUGUGUUGUGUGUUCACAGUAAAAGUUUGUGUCAUUUCAGUGUGUCUGCAGGUCACAGUAGAGGGUGUUAUUGGUGGUUCUGUUGUCAUAUUUCCCUGGAGAAAAAAAUAUUUUCCAGCAACAAUGUUAACACAUAAGUGUUCAGAUCAGCAGCAGGAGCAGCACAUCAUACAUAAUCACAUUCUGUGUUGUAGAUAUUCUGGCUAAAAGAAAACAAUGUGCACUGCUUGUUAUCGUAUUACAGCAUAAAAUUCUGAAACAGUUACUGUAACUGUAUUACUGUGUUAUUGCUGUGUUACUAUAUUAGGCAACAUUAGUUAACAUGAACCAAGAAAUGACAAUACUUCUACACAACUAACAUUUCAAGAUUCAGUAGAAAGUCAGGAGUAAGAGAUCAAACAUUUCCUCUAGAGCAAAUAGUCAAUUGUUGAUAGUCGACUGCACUAAUAUGCUUUAAAAAGACAACAGUAUCAGGUGCGCAUGUCUGAUAAUUUCACAUCGUCGGAUGUCAUCGAGAAGCACAAGGAAUAUUUUACGCUACUGUGAACUUCAAACUGAACAUUUGUUUCGUUUAGUAAUGUAAAUAAACAAAAAGCGUCUUGAAAAACAGUCUGUAAUACGAUUUCUGAUAUCUCUACAUUAUACAUUAUUAAAGAACAGUUGGAUGUCAUAUAAUCUUGCUGUGAAAAGAGCAACAAUUCAAAUGAAAAUGCUACAAAAAAAAUCUAAAAAAAUCUCUCUCUAUACAGUGCCUUGCGAAAGUAUUCAAACACCUUCAUUUUUACUGUUUUAUGUUGCAGCCUUAUGUUAAACUGCUUGAAAUUACUUUUUUCUCCACGUUAAUCUACACUCCAUACACCAUAAUGACAAAGCAAAAAAUGAUUUGUGACAACUUUGUAAAUUUAUUAAAAAUAAAAAUAAGUGCAUUGCAUAAGUAUUCAGUAAGUAAUGUGGUACUUAGGUGAAGCACCUUCACAGCCUCAAGUCUCAAGUCAGUUAAACAUAAGGCUGCAACAUAACAAAACAUGAACAAAUGAAGGGGUUUGCAAGGCACUGUAUAUAUAUAUAUAUAGAUAAAUUUGGAUAGAUAUAUAAAUACUUACACAGAGAGAGAGAGAGACUCAAAUGCUGGAAACUAGUUUAUUAGAUAUUAAAGAUGUAACUUAUGACUAGGCUGUCAGUCUGUGUGUUACAGUGGGGAAUUUUCAAUGAUUUCAUUGCAGGUUACAGCAUUACAUCCUAUGCCAGUAGGUGGCGGUAGGGGGUUGUCUUUAUGAGUGUCAGACAGUCUCUGAUAAAAGAUCAUGUGAAAUCUAAAAGUCUGCAUGAAACUGCUAGUGAUAGUCUUCCUUACUAUGAUGUGUAGUGAAAUGGCUGCUUGAACUGAAGAAGAAAAAAAAAUAUUGGGCUUUUUUUAUUAUUAUUUUGUCCAUCGAGUGUUGAUUUGAUCACUGUGGCUGUGAUGCUUUUAUUUCAUGCGAGGUUGUCUCACCCUUGCACCAGUAACACGUCCUUAGAGAAAAGAUGUUGUUGCAAGAGGGAGAAGUUGCACUGAUCAGCCACAACAUUAAAUCCACUAACAGGUGAAGUGAAUAACUUUUAUUACAUUGUAACAAAGGAAGCUUGGUGCGAGAUACAGUAUUACAUAGCAAACGAACAUUCAGUUCUUUAAUUUCAUGUGUUUUGAAAGCAGGAAAAAUGGGCAUUCGAAAAGAUCUAAGUUACUUUGACAAGAGCUAAAUAGUGAUGGCUACACAAACGGGUCAAAACAUCAAGUCAAAGCCCAUCAAGUCCGUCUGAUCUGAUCACACAGAAGAGCUACUGUAGCUCAAACUGCUGAAAAACCUAAUGCUGGCCAACACAGAAAAGUGUGAGAACAAAACACACUGUCACAGACGUGGCCUCUGUGGCUCCCUCUAACCGCCGCCAGCGGGAACCCUCACCGGACUUUUAGUACACUAAGUUUCCCAUCACCCCGUACCUGGGUCGCCCACUUCCGGUUCCGGGUCGGCCGGGUUCACUUCCCGCCAGUGGCCAUUUUUUAGGAGCACUCGACCAGCGUUUCCCCGCGAAGUUUUGCUAGCAAUCCUGAGCGUUCUUUUCAUGGACUGCCUUCUCGUGGCCAACCGGAGUGUUUAUUGUGUGUGUGAACCUUUGCUGCCUGCCUUUUGUCGUCCUACGUCUGUUUAUCGGAUUAACCCCUUUGAUCGCCGCCUGCCCCGACCUUUUGCAUGGACUGUCGUUACCCCUUUUGGUUUGUCUUCACCACACCAGUCUGCCGUUGUUGAACCACGCCUGUUUACUUUGUCUUCUUUAAUAAAGUUGUUGCAAAUGGAGGUGAGGUGGGUGGGCGGGGUGGUCAGGUGGGGCAGUUGGCCCUGAUGUGACCUCUGAGGCCGCAAUAAAGGCACAGGUUGCCUCGCAGCCGUCUCUCCCUCUCCCCAAACUACCCACCGCCAUGGAGACGGAAGAGGCGCUGUGCGAAUCGGUGUUCAGAUUCUACAGAUUACCAGAAGACAUCGUGUCAGAUCGUGGGCCCCAGUACACAUCUCGACUGUGGGCGAGCUUCUUCCGUCUCCUUGGCGUCAAUAUCAGUCUCACUUCGGGAUACCAUCCACAGUCCAAUGGCCAGGCUGAGAGGCUAAAUCAGGAGUUGACCCUCUUACUACGCUCCUACUGCCAGGACCGCCAGGGGGACUGGAGCCGCUUCCUAUUCUGGGCCGAGUACGCCCAAAAUUCUUUACGCAAACCCACCACCAAUCUCACGCCAUUUCAAUGCAUCCUGGGCUACCAGCCACCCUUGUUCCCCUGGUCCGGGGAACCCUCGGAUCUACCUGCGGUCAACUCCUGGUUCCAGCAGAGCGAGGAAACGUGGAACCGGGCCCAUGUCUAUCUCUAGAGGGCGGUUCGUCGCAUCCGCAUCCAGGCCGAUCGCAGACGUCGACCUAACCCACCCUACGAACCCGGACAAUGGGUCUGGCUCUCGACCCGGGACCUACGCCUGCACUUACCCUGCAAAAAGCUCAGCCCUAGGCCGCUGGUGACCCGGGAGGAGUGGAGAACCUAGAUGAGGCCGCCCCGCAGGGACCACCCCCCCGAUCAUCGAUGGUGAGGAGGUCUAUCGAGUCGACUCUAUUCUGGAUUCCCGACGCCAGAGAGGCCACCUCCAGUAUUUGAUUGACUGGGAAGGCUUCGGCCCCGAGGAGAGGUCUUGGGUGUCAGCUGAGGACAUCCUUGAUCCCUCUCUCACCACCGACUUCCACUCUUCUCAUCCGGAUCGACCAGCUCCUCGUAGGAGAGGUAGGCCCCGGCGUCGGUCGCCUCCUCGCGCCAGGAGGCGCUCGCGGCGGGGGGGCUCUGUCACAGACAUGGCCUCUGUGGCUCCCUCUAACCGCCGCCAGCGGGAACCCUCACCGGACUUUUAGUACACUACGUUUCCCAUCACCCUGUACCUGGGUCGCCCACUUCCGGUUCUGGGUCGGCCGGGUUCACUUCCCGCCGGCGGCCAUUUUAGGUCAUUUUGUUUAGUCAUGCUAGCAAUCCUGAGCGUUCUUUUCACGGACUGCCUUCUCAUUGCCAACUGGACUGUUUAUUGUGUGUGUGAACCUUUGCUGCCUGCCUUUUGUCGACCUACGUCUGUUUAUCGGAUUAACCCCUUUGAUCGCCGCCUGCCCCGACCUUUUGCACGGACUCUCGUUACCCCUUUUGGUUUGUCUUCACCACACCAGUCUGCAGUUGUUGAACCACGCCUGUUUACUUUGUCUUCUUUAAUAAAGUUGCUGCAAAUGGAUCCGACGUCUCCGGAUGCGUCUAUGACUUCAUUACACACACAGCCGUAAACCAGUCAAAGUGCCCAUGAUAACCCCUGUCCAAAACCCACAAUGGGCACAAAACUGAACCAUGUUUUCACAACAAAAAACAAGACAAAAUUUAGAGCUUGAGCAUCUGAAUGUUGGACAGGAACACCACACUUCAAACACACACAACACACCUUGUGAGCAUCCAGAAUAGAUGAUGUGGAGCUUCAACAGUAGUUUUUCAGUUUUUCCGCAAUUUCAGUUGCGAUCAGGGAAAUAUACCAAUGUGACGAGAAAAAAACAUGAUCAAAUAUCAAACAUGCUGAAGAAUUUGGUUUUGAAAUUAGAAUUGGGUUUAACAAAAGAGGGAUAAACCUAGUGGGCAUCGUGGCAAGUACGACACAAGAAAUAAAUUUUGAAAGGAAUUGAAAACUGUGCGGGUAAUUAAUCAGAGUGAUUAGGCACUCUGCCUGGCCAACUUUAGGUUAUAGGUCGGAUCUGUCCGACAGAGAACUUAGGCGCCAACAUAGGGACCCACAGGGAGAGAGAGCCAUUACGGGGAAAUCUCAGAGCAAGCUCGCCAAAUAUGAUACACCAGUAUUUUAUCAAAUGAAAAAAUUGUAUGGCCAAAAAUGCAUGCAAGAUAUAGACAAGUUGGUAAAAUACCAUGAUUUUCCGGAAGAGGGUACACUGAGUGUUACAAGAUUGAAGGUAGUAAAGGAGUCAGUUGAGGAAGGGAGUAAGAAACAGGAAGGGUGUUGUGUGAAGCAUAUGUGUUAGAAAUGUGAACAGACAGUGGAUUUUUGGAUAAGGGAGGCGGAUAAGAGAGAAAGGAGGGCGAUGCAGAAAGAAUUGGCACAUAGAGAUGAAAAAGAGAAGAAAAAUGAGGAAUGUGAAGAAAAAG